RNAcentral lists this non-coding RNA (31 nucleotides) under Homo sapiens (human). Lineage: Eukaryota; Metazoa; Chordata; Mammalia; Primates; Hominidae. The record is from RNAcentral.
UGACUAACCACUUCUGACCUACUGGGACAAA